RNAcentral lists this ribosomal RNA (400 nucleotides) under Amaricoccus sp. HAR-UPW-R2A-40. RNAcentral's name for it is "Bacterial large subunit ribosomal RNA". It matches the Rfam family "Bacterial large subunit ribosomal RNA", at positions 32 to 451 of the family's 2925-position model. Lineage: Bacteria; Pseudomonadati; Pseudomonadota; Alphaproteobacteria; Rhodobacterales; Paracoccaceae. The record is from Rfam by way of RNAcentral.
CUUGGCAGCAAGAGGCGAUGAAGGACGUGGCACUCUGCGAUAAGCCCGGGGGAGGCGAGAGCACCCUUGAUCCCGGGAUGUCCGAAUGGGGAAACCCACCUGACACUCGAUUGUUGUCGACCCAGGUCGAUCAACAAUCAGGUGAACCAGGUACUUUUUACCUGAAUACAUAGGGUUAAAAGAGCAAACGCGGGGAACUGAAACAUCUCAGUACCCGCAGGAAAGGAAAUCAACCGAUACUCCGUCAGUAGCGGCGAGCGAACGCGGACCAGCCGAGCCCUGAGAGGUAGCAGAACCAGUUGGGAAACUGGGCGACAUGGGUGAUAGCCCCGUAUGCGAAAACUCGAUGGGCCACAUUAAGUAGGGCGGGACACGUGAAAUCCUGUCUGAAGAUCGGGGG